AGUGAACGCUGGCGGUAGGCCUAACACAUGCAAGUCGAACGGCAGCACAGUAAGAGCUUGCUCUUACGGGUGGCGAGUGGCGGACGGGUGAGGAAUACAUCGGAAUCUACUUUUUCGUGGGGGAUAACGUAGGGAAACUUACGCUAAUACCGCAUACGACCUACGGGUGAAAGCAGGGGAUCUUCGGACCUUGCGCGAUUGAAUGAGCCGAUGUCGGAUUAGCUAGUUGGGGGGGUAAAGGCCCACCAAGGCGACGAUCCGUAGCUGGUCUGAGAGGAUGAGCGGCCCCGAUGGGAAUGAGACACGGUCCAAACUCCUACGGGAGGCAGGAGUGGGGAAUUUUGGACAAUGGGCAGAAGCCGAACCCACCCAAACCGGGGGGGGAAAGAAGGCCUUCGGGUUUUAAAGCCCUUUUGUUGGGAAAGAAAAGCAGCAGGUUAAUACCCCGCUGUUCUGGUGAUCCCAAAAGAAAAACCCCCGGCUAAUCUCGU
This 491-nucleotide ribosomal RNA is filed under the name uncultured bacterium. RNAcentral describes it as "partial 16S ribosomal RNA". It matches the Rfam family "Bacterial small subunit ribosomal RNA", at positions 29 to 506 of the family's 1533-position model. The record is from RNAcentral.